RNAcentral lists this long non-coding RNA (376 nucleotides) under Chinchilla lanigera (long-tailed chinchilla). RNAcentral describes it as "lncRNA (ENSCLAG00000027016.1)". The record is from RNAcentral. Lineage: Eukaryota; Metazoa; Chordata; Mammalia; Rodentia; Chinchillidae.
GUGACGAAGCCAGCAUGAUGGCAAUGACAUGGGAGGUAGCCCAGGGCUGGGUUAUAUGCUGGGGACCAAUGUGUCCCAUGCUGUCAAGAGCUCAGCAGAGAGUUCUGUUUAAUGGAGUGUGGGAGAUGAGGUAGAAGGAACAGUUGUAGGACUGGAGGACAAGCUGAGUAGAAUCAGAAACAGAAAAAAGAACAGGGUUGGGGUAGAAAUGAUAAUAAUAAUUUCUCCUUUAGGCAUAAAGAGUUGGAGCUGUUUAUGGGACACACAGACUUCGAUGCCUUGCAAACAGCUGGACAGGUGGGACAUCAGGAGGGUUCCUCCAUGUGAAGCAGAGAAAAUCAAAGUUCUCCUCUCUUAUAACUGUCCAUUGUUUUAG